Molecule: long non-coding RNA, 874 nt
Organism: Oncorhynchus tshawytscha (Chinook salmon)
Lineage: Eukaryota; Metazoa; Chordata; Actinopteri; Salmoniformes; Salmonidae
Source: Ensembl
GGGGUCAGCAUGGUGGUGGUAGUGUGAUGGUUUGGGGUCCAGCAUGGUGGUGGUAGUGUGAUGGUUUGGGGUCAGCAUGGUGGUGGUAGUGUGAUGGUUUGGGGUCCAGCGUGGUGGUGGUAGUGUGAUGGUUUGGGGUUCAGCAUGGUGGUGGUAGUGUGAUGGUUUGGGGUCAGCAUGGUGGUGGUGGUAGUGUGAUGGUUUGGGGUCCAGCAUGGUGGUGGUAGUGUGAUUGUUUGGGGUCCAGCGUGGUGGUGGUAGUGUGAUGGUAGUGUGAUGUUUUGGAGUCCAGCGUGGUGGUGGUAGGUUGAUGGUUUGGGGUCAGCAUGGUGGUGGUAGUGUGAUGGUUUGGGGUCAGCAUGGUGGUGGUAGUGUGAUGGUGUGGGGUCAGCAUGGUGGUGGUAGUGUGAUGGUUUGGGGUCAGCAUGGUGGUAGUACUGUGUUGGUUUGGGGUCCAGCGUGGUGGUGGUAGUGUGAUGGUUUGGGGUCCAGCGUGGUGUGGUAGUUGUGAUGGUUUGGGGUCCAGCAUGGUGGUGGUAGUGUGAUUGUUUGGGGUCAGCAUGGUGGUGGUAGUGUGAUGGUUUGGGGUCAGCGUGGUGGUGGUAGUGUGAUGGUAGUGUGAUGGUUUGGGGUCCAGCGUGGUGGUGGUAGUGUGAUGGUUUGGGGUCCAGUGUGGUGGUGGUAGUGUGAUUGUUUGGGGUCCAGCGUGGUGGUGGUAGUGUGAUGGUAGUGUGAUGGUUUGGGGUCCAGCAUGGUGGUGGUGGUAGUGUGAUGGUUUGGGGUCCAGCAUGGUGGUGGUGGUGUUGUGAUGGUUUGGGGUCAGCAUGGUGGUGGUAGUGUGAUGGUUUGGGGUCAGCAUGGUGGUGGUAGUGUG